Molecule: long non-coding RNA, 553 nt
Organism: Cavia porcellus (domestic guinea pig)
Lineage: Eukaryota; Metazoa; Chordata; Mammalia; Rodentia; Caviidae
Exons: 5
Source: RefSeq, a predicted model, not a curated record
UGUGAACAGUGGCGAUCCACGGGCAGAAACUUGGAAUUCAGAACCAAAGCCUGCUGAUUAUGUUAGUUUCACUCGGGAACUGGAGCUGUAUUAUUCGAGUGGGGAUCCAAGUUAGGACUGGAAAGCAUAAUCAGUGCACUGCAAGAGACAAGCUUACUGAGCACUGCAGGAUUACGCUACAGCUUGCUCUAGGCAAUGGACAGGAUACAAAAACUACCUGUUAUCACUGAACUUAUGCGACUCAUCCGUUCCCUCCCUCCCGGGUCCGGUGCUGGAACGCUGCUCUCCAGGGCUGCUGACAGCUGUCGCCUUGGACCUCCCGUCGCCACUGCUCUGGACCCCACUCCCUGUUUUAUGGACUCCAGCCUGACUUCCUCUGUCUCGGUUUGCCCCCGUCACUGAAGCACAUUUUCCAACUGUCAGACAAGGAGGCCUAUGAUUCCAGGAGCCACUGUGUGACCGUGACCUGCGCAGGAGAAAGGCCACAUGCUGAGGACCACACAGGGGAAAUGGCCCACAGCCCUGACGCUCUCGCAGGGAAGCUAUUUACUUC